CCGCUUCGUAGUCCGCACGGCCGAUGUCGGCCGCCUGAGAAGCGGCCGGAUCCACUGGCUGACCGCUUCGUCCAACUCGGCGGCAGGGGUC
This 91-nucleotide transfer RNA is filed under the name Kitasatospora indigofera. Its description in RNAcentral is "tRNA-Leu". Lineage: Bacteria; Bacillati; Actinomycetota; Actinomycetes; Kitasatosporales; Streptomycetaceae. The record is from RNAcentral.